RNAcentral lists this long non-coding RNA (458 nucleotides) under Heterocephalus glaber (naked mole-rat). Its description in RNAcentral is "lncRNA (ENSHGLG00100047066.1)". The record is from RNAcentral. Lineage: Eukaryota; Metazoa; Chordata; Mammalia; Rodentia; Bathyergidae.
GUUCUCGGGGACUGUACCAGGCUCCUGGCCCUUCCAUGUGGGCUUCUCCCCCAUCUCUCCUUCUUGGAUGCCAUGAGUUGAGCAGCUUUCCUCUGCUACACUUUGCAACAUGAUGUUUUUGCCCUGCAAGCAGCCAACCAUGGACUGAAACACCUGGAACCGUCUCUAGAGGAACAAAAUCAGCAGAAAACAGGCAAGGGUCUUCAGCUAGGCUUCUGGGAGGAGAGCGGACCCUCCACGAUGGCGUCCCCCAGCCAGCUGACUUCCUCCUCCUUCCCCCAGUCCAUCAGCUUCAAGCUUAUUGGAUGACGCCCCCCACAGGCAGGGUUGUCUCCCCAUCAGCAUCAGCAUGCCCGCCCGGUGCCAACUGUCUCAGGGGUACACCCGGAAGUGCGCUACCCCAAGCUGCAAGGCAUUUCUUAAUCUGGCCAAGGCGACAAUCACAAUUCCAGUUCACA